RNAcentral lists this long non-coding RNA (2940 nucleotides) under Varroa destructor (honeybee mite). RNAcentral's name for it is "uncharacterized LOC111249203". Lineage: Eukaryota; Metazoa; Arthropoda; Arachnida; Mesostigmata; Varroidae. The record is from RNAcentral.
UUGAUCGGUAGUCUGUUGAAUUUUAAGUAAUAAUACAACUCAACUUACAAUAGUAUUUCGUAUUGUAGACUAAUUUCCGAUCAGGAGAAAAAAUUAGUGAUGGACCAAAUUAGCGCGGAUGCAGCGCUCUCAGACGAGUCGGCAGUUUGAAACUUGGUAACAUCCUAUUAGGGCAUGGCAAUUAGCUCAGAUUUAAGCCUGAACCGAGAUUCAAUGCCUCAUCUUCGCAACGAGGCUUGCAUUAUGGACAAUUUCACUUUAGUUCUUGACAGGAACUAAAACCACUGCUGACACUUUUGAUAUCUGUUUACGUCUGUGUUCCGCCUCGUCUAUUCCUAAUCAGUAUUUAGGCAAGCUGGACCAGUCUUAGGGAAAAUGCCUGUUUUUUAAUACUGCCAUACCAAAAGUUUACAGGGACUGGUUGACGCACGUAUUACCAGCUUGCUAUAGGGGCGUAUAUGUGUGUGAAGCACUUAUACAAGAUAAAGACGAUCCUGAUACGUCUUAGAUAUCUUCUUCCUCUAAUAUGUAAACAAGAUCACAUUCAAUAGUGUGUUGUAGCAGAGCAUAGUCUUUGCUCUGAUUUGAAAUCUGAAAAAGGUGUUAGACGGACUCAAGUUUAUCUUUGCCGGUGGAGAAUGCAACUUUCCAUGUAAUGUUAGGUUGUCCAGAAAGUACUGACCGUUUCAAGCAAUUCAUAUAAGUUGAUAUUAUUAAGCUAAACAAGCGCCAUUUUGAUCGACGACCUUCUGUCACCUUUUUGGCAAUAUCACAGUUCCAUCCAACUUGUAUAACUGGUGAACGAAGCCUUGCGACAAAUGAUUUUUGCAUCCUUCCAUUGAAGCAGAAUCAACGCCAUUAAAGGCGUAUAGCAGGGACCGAAACGGACGACAAUUAAACGAUGCAAGGUCCAGGCUAUACUGUGGAUGGAUUUAAAUUGCCCAUCCAAAUUCUUUCAAAUUUUUCCGAGUAUCUAAAAUGUCUGUGGCUGGCAUUAUCGUGGUAGGAAUGACAAUGUCUCUUCUGCUCACUGGCUCUGGUUGAUUUUUUCAAUGACUCGUUGUUGUUAACAGUCGAGGUCCAAAUCGAUUGUUCUACCCAGCGGUAGCAGCUUAUAGCGUAUGAUUCCUCUCGAACCUUACCAAACACGUAGCAUCGCCUUCGCCACUAACUAUCAAGUUUCCUCGCCGCGACUAUGUCUUUUUUUCACGCAGUUCUGUCGAAUCUCACUCGUCUUCAAGGCGGCCUAUCUUAAGUCUGAACAAAGGCAUUCUGAUAAUCCAGAUUUCAAGUCAAGACAAACGCCGUCCGUAUAUAACUCGUAAUACCUGAGCUUAACCACUGAAUUGACUGUCUUCGUACGCUACGCAAUAUACCCUACACCGCAGUUAGCGUUUAGUCAUUUUCCGCACGAGUCGUCGGCGUAUCGUCCGCUACCGGUUCGUUCAGCGCAACCGUCGUUGUGCGUCUAGUGAACACGCCGGGAUUAUGGAAACAAAAUCGGCACGCGAAGAGAUACCGAACAAGAAUGGCGUGGAGGAAUUGUAAUGGCGUUGCAUUGUAAAACCGUUCCACCCUCUAACGAUAGUGCCAGCCGCAGCGGCAGUGGCGGCGGCAGCGGCACUGGUAAGCCGGAGCUGGCAGCAGCAGCAAUAGCUGCCUUCUGUUUUCCAGGGCUGUUAGUUUCUGUGCCUAUGUCUUUCAGUAUUCGUUUCACUAUUGCGCCGCUCUGGCUACGGCAGCAUGAGAAGACGAAGGAAAAAUAGAACAGGAGAGAGAGAGAGAGAGUGAGCUUGGUGGGUAGAGGGAAAAAGGGAUAUUGGUCUCUUACGAAAUCGAUUCUUGGCGAACUCAGCCCCGUGGCAGCCCAGCGUUUCUCAAGCGGGCUAUCCCUAAGAAUUAGGUCUGUAAACCAAUCGGUAAAUAGUAGGUAGUGGCGUUAAGGCUUGGGAUUGGGAACACCGCGAGGCAGGUGGGAGACCACAGGAAUCAGCAACUGGGAACUGUAGUGUAGUUAAGCGAUGAGUGUUAUCAUAACUAUCAUUACCCCUAUUCAUGCCGAAGUCGAGUGCGGUCUGCCCUAAAGCGGAAGAGCAAUGUUGAACGGAAAGAAACAGUACGUGGCUUAGUGACUGAACAGGGGUCCGUUGGCCAGAGUGAUUCUGAUGCUAUCGCGAAUGUUACAGCUAUCAGUUACCCGUUUUAUCUUUGUUUUUCUCGUAGACCUCAAUGACUUGUAGAGUCUGCGCCGGUAUUACUCAGUCACCGGUGUGUACCUCCCCUAUCAAGGGGUUACCUUCUUAGCUGUUCGCGUAUCGAGUUGUAGUCUUUCUCUCAUCCUGUUGGGGCACUUCAUGCUUAACCAGCAACGAUGAGGUUCUGUACAGUGGUUAUAACAGAAGCUUCAUUACCUCAACAACUGCUGAAGACUACCCUCAUUCCUUCACGGUUUUUGAAACCUGACAGUUCUGUUCCAGCACAAGCUUUUUAUACUGCCUCUGGCUAAGCUCGUACAUGCUCUUAAACAGUCGCUGUCGGCCGCCAAUUAGAUAAAAUUCUACAAAAUGCUUUUUAUAACUACUCACUUCCUUCUCUUUCUUGUCCACUGCCAUAGUCACAAUAGCUUUGCGGGAGGUGGGGAAAAGAGCAAAAAUUUUAAAGCUAGCGCGUAUUUACGUACGGUGCACGCUUACAUAUUGGCUAAAAUUAUCCAACAAUAUUCCGACGCCCCCCAGAAAUAUAACAACAAUACGGACUUCUUUAGCCUCUAUAAAUAUCACUCGUCAGAUUGGCAGAGACGCACGCUUUCAAUGGAAUAAUGUUAAAAUGUAUACUACUCACGACUAUGAAACUACCGACGAACUACGAUCUAACUUUUAGGAUAUAAGCCAUUGCUGUUAUAUAACGCAGUCAGAGUCAGCACUGCUCAACUUAGUCUAA